AAAAGUUUUUCUUUCUGAAGCUCUCCAGAAGUUUCUCUCAAACCGACUCAUCUUCUUCUUCAAUCUUCAUCUUGAUUCUUCCACGUUUUCAUGGUAUCAGAGCGGGACGAUGAUCCGACGAUUCUCUGCUAUAUUUUGUUAUCCCAAUCGAAAUCGCGUUGGAAAGUUUUCGGGUGUUUGUGAGAUAUUUGGUCAGUGAUGAUUUCGAUGAAGAUCGAGUGUUGAUCUGAGACCUUUAUCACCGUUAACUAGUUGCAUCUUCACUACUUGGACGUUUUGGGUUGGUUUUCCGACAUCCUCGACUCGAUUCCGGCGAGACUUCAGAUUUUAGGGUUUCUGCUGCUCGGAACUGGCAUUUUUUCUGUUAAUCGAAGGACGAUCUUCUCCGGUCGCGAAGAAGAAGGGUAAAUCUGUUCCUGUUUUAGGUGCUAUAUGAUUUGCAUGAGGUUUUUGAUACAACUUUAGUUUUUUCAAACUAAUUAAAGAGAUUAUCUUUUGAUUUUAAACGAUCUUCUCCGGUCGCGAAGAAGGAGGGUAAAUCUAUUCCUGUUUUAGGUGCUAUAUGAUUUACAUGAGAUUUUUGAUACAACUUUAGUUUUUUCAAAUUAAUUACAGAGACUAU
Molecule: long non-coding RNA, 622 nt
Filed under: Nicotiana benthamiana
Lineage: Eukaryota; Viridiplantae; Streptophyta; Magnoliopsida; Solanales; Solanaceae
Description: long non-coding RNA (NBEN_LNC034074)
Source: RNAcentral